GCGAGAGUGCUGGAAUCGGCAGACAGGCAUGUUUGAGGGGCAUGUGUCAGAAUUGACGUGUGGGUUCAAGUCCCAUCUCUCGCACCA
Molecule: transfer RNA, 87 nt
Filed under: Desulfitibacter sp. BRH_c19
Lineage: Bacteria; Bacillati; Bacillota; Clostridia; Neomoorellales; Desulfitibacteraceae
Description: tRNA-Leu
Rfam family: tRNA
About the family: Transfer RNA (tRNA) molecules are approximately 80 nucleotides in length. Their secondary structure includes four short double-helical elements and three loops (D, anti-codon, and T loops).
Source: RNAcentral